This 1970-nucleotide long non-coding RNA is filed under the name Callithrix jacchus (white-tufted-ear marmoset). RNAcentral's name for it is "lncRNA (ENSCJAG00000074634.1)". The record is from RNAcentral. Lineage: Eukaryota; Metazoa; Chordata; Mammalia; Primates; Cebidae.
GGCUGGUUGCCAGUUAUGUAACCUCCUCACUGUUAGAUGAAAUCUCAUUUCACUGUGCUGUGUGCAUUAGGUCUGGUUCACGUUGAGCUACCUGAGAGGAGCUGGGAACAUGCUGUUUCUCAUCAUUUUCACCCAGCAAGAGAACUGGAAAGAGAGAGCUACACCCAAACCAAUUAUGGUCAGGCCCUCUGGGCUGUUACAUAAUAUUUCAGGAGACAGUGGAGUGAAGCGGACCUCAGCAUCCCAGAGGUGUGCUGCCAAGGCCGUGUGCUCUCUGUGCUUGGAAGUCUUGGACGGAGUUUCGCUCUUGUUACCCAGACUGGAGUGCAAUGGCGCGAUCUCAGUUCACCACAACCUCCGCCUGCUGGGUUCAAGCAAUUCUCCCGCCUCAGCCUCCUGAGUAGCUGGGAUUACAGGCACGCGCUAGUGUGCCCAGCUAAUUUUAUGUAUUUUUAGUAGAGAUGGGGUUUCACCAUGUUGACCAGGAUGGUCUUGAUCUGUUGACCUCGUGAUGCACCCGCCUCGGCCUCCCAAAGUGCUGGGAUUAUAGGCGUCAGCCAUCGCGCCUGGCCCACUGUUCAUAUUCUUAUGCGUUUCCCCAUGUAACUAUAAUUUAGCCAGGGUCUUACUAAUAAAUACAUAUUUACUAUUAAACAAUUAUUUUUGAAUUGUUUGCUACUAAUAUCUAAAAGUAGAAUUACUUUUGUAUAUCAAUCAUGUGUCUUACAACCUUGCUAAGUUUGUUUAUAAAUUCUACUAGAUGUUUUAUAGUUUCCUAUAAAACUUUCUACAUAAACAAUCAUGUCUAUUUCAUUGCAGAUACUCCCUACCUCUGAAUUCAUGACGAGCAUUUUUCCUUUACAUCACUGAGUAUAGUUAUGCCGUGUAAAACUGUGUUAAAUUCCUUGUCUGGGAAACAUCUGGGUCAUCUCAGAGUCGGCAUCCUGUUGAUUAUCUUUUCCCUUGAGAAUGGCUCAUGUCUUCCUGAGUCGUCUUUGUUGAAUAAUUUUGGGUCAUAGCCCAGACACUGUGAAUAUUAUGUUGUAAAGACUCUGCAUUCUGUUAUAUUUCUCCAAGGAGUGUUGACAUUUUGUUUUAGCAGAUAAUUAACUUGAUUUAGAUUCAGAAUGCCAACUCUUGUGCCUGUGUUAGGUAGCGGCUCAGAUCUCUGAUUGGUUCUUGAAGCCACAGUAGUCAGCUGCUUUCAGUUUGUUCCAUGUAUGUGUGAUUCAGAGGUCAGAGACUUGGGCCAGGUUUAUACAUACAAUUUGAGAUUCUCUUUUUCUUGUUCUCUUCUUUCGGAGGUUCACUCUUAUUUUCCAGAAGCCUUGGUUGCCCUGGUUCCUCUGGUUAGAAGGAUGAUGGACUUUCUACCAGAAUUUAAGCCAUCCUGCCCCAGUGCUGCUACAAACGUGGUUUCUCUCAGGGCGAAGCCACAAUAAACAAGGAACUCACGCCAGCCUGGCCACUUGCUUCAAAUUGUACUCCCUUCCAAAAUAUGCCUGUUUUUUCUCAGUCCUCAGAGUUCUCAGGUAACUUUUUGUUGUAUUUAUUUUCUAAGAGUUUGUAGGUGCUAUUUGGCUUGGCAGGAGUUUGCUCUUUUAUACCAGAAGCAGAACUUCACUUACCACAUGUUGAGUGUUCAUUAUCCGAGAUGCUUGGGACUGAAGCGUUUUGGAUUUUGGGUAUUUUCAGAUUUUGGAAUAUUUGCAUAUGCAUAAUGAGAUAUCUUGGGGAUGGGACCCAAGAUUAAAUAUGAAAUUUAUUUAUGUUUCAUAUAUACUAGCCUGAAGGUAAUUUUAUACAAUCUACUUUAAUAAUUUUGUCCAUGAAACGCAGUUUCUGUACAUUGAGCCUCUGGAAAGCAAAGGUGUCAGGUGUAGAAUUUUCAGCUUGUGGUGUCAUGUCAGUGGUCAAAAAGUUUCAGACUUUGCAGUAUUUUAGAUUUGCAUUUUCAGAUUAAGGAUCCU